CCUACGGGAGGCAGCAGUGAGGAAUAUUGGUCAAUGGACGCAAGUCUGAGCCAGCCAUGCCGCGUGCAGGAUGACGGUCCUAUGGAUUGUAAACUGCUUUUGUACGAGAAGAAACAACAUUACGUGUAAUGUCUUGACGGUAUCGUAAGAAUAAGGAUCGGCUAACUCCGUGCCAGCAGCCGCGGUAAUACGGAGGAUCCAAGCGUUAUCCGGAAUCAUUGGGUUUAAAGGGUCCGUAGGCGGUUUAGUAAGUCAGUGGUGAAAGCCCAUCGCUCAACGGUGGAACGGCCAUUGAUACUGCUAGACUUGAAUUAUUAGGAAGUAACUAGAAUAUGUAGUGUAGCGGUGAAAUGCUUAGAGAUUACAUGGAAUACCAAUUGCGAAGGCAGGUUACUACUAAUUGAUUGACGCUGAUGGACGAAAGCGUGGGGAGCGAACAGGAUUAGAUACCCUGGUAG
This 458-nucleotide ribosomal RNA is filed under the name uncultured Flavobacteriia bacterium. RNAcentral's name for it is "bacterial SSU rRNA". It matches the Rfam family "Bacterial small subunit ribosomal RNA", at positions 338 to 793 of the family's 1533-position model. Lineage: Bacteria; Pseudomonadati; Bacteroidota; Flavobacteriia. The record is from RNAcentral.